UGCGUAGGCGGAAUAUUAAGUCAGUGGUGAAAUCCUGCAGCUUAACUGUAGGACCGCCAUUGAUACUGGUAAUCUUGAAUUUAGUUGAGGUGGGCGGAACGUGUAAUGUAGCGGUGAAAUGCUUAGAUAUUACACAGAACACCGAUUGCGAAGGCAGCUCACUAAACUAACAUUGACGCUGAGGCACGAAAGCGUGGGUAGCGAACAGGAUUAGAUACCCUGGUAGUCC
Molecule: ribosomal RNA, 229 nt
Filed under: uncultured bacterium
Lineage: Bacteria
Description: partial 16S ribosomal RNA
Rfam family: Bacterial small subunit ribosomal RNA
Source: RNAcentral